Molecule: long non-coding RNA, 693 nt
Organism: Hemicordylus capensis (graceful crag lizard)
Lineage: Eukaryota; Metazoa; Chordata; Lepidosauria; Squamata; Cordylidae
Exons: 2
Source: RefSeq, a predicted model, not a curated record
CCACAGCCCCCUCCCACUUCUGCCCGCAUCAUAAGACUCCACUGUCCUCUGAGCCCCAAUAAAAGCAGCCCACCUUUGCUGAGCAGCUAAGUCUCCCUGGGGGGGGAGAGGGGAAACGGUUAAUGUUUCCCCUUUGCCCCCGUGGGAUGUGGGAGGGCGGCCGAAGUCCUGGGCUUUUUCCGCAAUCUCACUCCCUGUAGGGGAUCCAGGUUUCUGGUAGAGGACGCCGAGCUGUCUCCCUUAGACCCCUGCAGGCUCCUUCGGGAGCUCCUACUGGCCACCGUCUGACGUGCCCCUCUCGGGCUAAGGGCUGAAGCGGGGUCUCCCCCUCCCUGUAAGAAUAAGCUCCCCAAGCAGCUCGAAGACCCAGCUCCCAAAGGUGUGGUCCUUCUGGUUGAGCCAGAGUAGCUCAAGCUGUGUCUGGGUGGGCUCAUCCCUUGGUGGUCCUGCCCCAACACAGAUUGACCAAGGCCCACUGUUUAACCUGGCCCUGCAGGCCUGGCUGGUUGCCGCUUUUUGGAGCCGAGAAGGAAUUUUCCCCUGGGAGGUCUCUGGAUCCCCAGGUUUUUUGCCUUCUCUGCACGGCCUUCCUCUUGAGCUCUGCAAGUGCCUUGGCUUGCCGCUGAAGACGAGUCAAGCAGUGGGUCUUUCCCCCUCCCACCCCUCCCCAAAUAAAAUAUAAAUAGAUUUGAA